GUUAGGAAUAUUGGACAAUGGGCGCAAGCCUGAUCCAGCCAUGCCGCGUGAGUGAUGAAGGCCUUCGGGGUGUAAAGCUCUUUAGCCGAUGAUUAUAAUGACUGUAGUCGGAAAAUAAGCCCCGGCUAACUUCGUGCCAGCAGCCGCGGUAAUACGAAGGGGGCGAGCGUUAUUCGGAAUCACUGGGCGUAAAGCGUGCGUAGGCGGCUUUGCAAGUUGGGAGUGAAAGCCCAGGGCUCAACCCUGGAAUUGCUCUCAAAACUGCAAGGCUCGAAUUCGGGAGAGGAUAGCGGAAUUGUCAGUGUAGCAGUGAAAUGCGUAGAUAUUGACAGGAACACCAGUGGCGUAAGCGGCUAUCUGGACCGAUAUUGACGCUGAGGCACGAAAGCGUGGGGAUCAAACAGGAUUAGAAACCCCAGUAGUCC
Molecule: ribosomal RNA, 425 nt
Filed under: uncultured bacterium
Lineage: Bacteria
Description: partial 16S ribosomal RNA
Rfam family: Bacterial small subunit ribosomal RNA
Source: RNAcentral